UUUAGCAGAUAGAGUUUGAUCCUGGCUCAGGAUGAACGCUGGCUGUGUGCCUAAUACAUGCAUGUCGAGCGAGGUUCUUUUGAACCUAGCGGCGAAUGGGUGAGUAACACGUGCUUAAUCUACCCUUUAGAUUGGAAUACCCAAUGGAAACAUUGGCUAAUGCCGGAUACGCAUGGAAUCGCAUGAUUCCGUUGUGAAAGGAGCCUUUAAAGCUCCGCUAGAGGAUGAGGGUGCGGAACAUUAGUUAGUUGGUAGGGUAAUGGCCUACCAAGACUAUGAUGUUUAGCCGGGUCGAGAGACUGAACGGCCACAUUGGGACUGAGAUACGGCCCAAACUCCUACGGGAGGCAGCAGUAGGGAAUAUUCCACGAUGAGCGAAAGCUUGAUGGAGCGACACAGCGUGCACGAUGAAGGUCUUCGGAUUGUAAAGUGCUGUUAUAGGGAAAGAACACCUGGUUGAGGAAAUGCUUCCAGGCUGACGGUACCCUGUCAGAAAGCGAUGGCUAACUAUGUGCCAGCAGCCGCGGUAAUACAUAGGUCGCAAGCGUUAUCCGGAAUUAUUGGGCGUAAAGCGUUCGUAGGCUGUUUAUUAAGUCUGGAGUCAAAUCCCAGGGCUCAACCCUGGCUCGCUUUGGAUACUGGUAAACUAGAGUUAGAUAGAGGUAAGCGGAAUUCCAUGUGAAGCGGUGAAAUGCGUAGAUAUAUGGAAGAACACCAAAGGCGAAGGCAGCUUACUGGGUCUAUACUGACGCUGAGGGACGAAAGCGUGGGGCGCAAACAGGAUUAGAUACCCUGGUAGUCCACGCCGUAAACGAUGAUCAUUAGUCGGUGAAGAGUUCACUGACGCAGCUAACGCAUUAAAUGAUCCGCCUGAGUAGUAUGCUCGCAAGAGUGAAACUUAAAGGAAUUGACGGGGACCCGCACAAGCGGUGGAGCAUGUGGUUUAAUUUGAAGAUACGCGGAGAACCUUACCCACUCUUGACAUCCUUCGCAAUGCUAUAGAGAUAUAGCGGAGGUUAACGGAGUGACAGAUGGUGCAUGGUUGUCGUCAGCUCGUGUCGUGAGAUGUUUGGUCAAGUCCUGCAACGAGCGCAACCCCUAUCUUUAGUUACUAACGAGUCAUGUCGAGGACUCUAGAGAUACUGCCUGGGUAACUGGGAGGAAGGUGGGGAUGACGUCAGAUCAUCAUGCCUCUUACGAGUGGGGCAACACACGUGCUACAAUGGUCGGUACAAAGAGAAGCAAUAUGGCGACAUGGAGCAAAUCUCAAAAAGCCGAUCUCAGUUCGGAUUGGAGUCUGCAAUUCGACUCCAUGAAGUCGGAAUCGCUAGUAAUCGCAGAUCAGCUACGCUGCGGUGAAUACGUUCUCGGGUCUUGUACACACCGCCCGUCACACCAUGGGAGCUGGUAAUACCCAAAGUCGGUUAGCUAACCUCGGAGGCGACCGCCUAAGGAAGGACUGGUGACUGGGGUGAAGUCGUAACAAGGUAUCCCUACG
RNAcentral lists this ribosomal RNA (1498 nucleotides) under Mycoplasmopsis arginini. RNAcentral's name for it is "Mycoplasma arginini 16S ribosomal RNA". It matches the Rfam family "Bacterial small subunit ribosomal RNA". The record is from RNAcentral. Lineage: Bacteria; Bacillati; Mycoplasmatota; Mycoplasmoidales; Metamycoplasmataceae.